Molecule: unclassified non-coding RNA, 543 nt
Filed under: Zopfia rosatii
Lineage: Eukaryota; Fungi; Ascomycota; Dothideomycetes; Zopfiaceae
Description: Neotestudina rosatii sequence contains 18S rRNA gene, ITS1, 5.8S rRNA gene, ITS2, 28S rRNA gene
Rfam family: 5.8S ribosomal RNA (bases 186-339)
Source: RNAcentral
AGUCGUAACAAGGUUUCCGUAGGUGAACCUGCGGAAGGAUCAUUACCGUGGGGAUCUCACGAUCCCUACCGAGAUAGAACCCUUGCCUUGCAUACCCUCCGUUUCCUCGGCAGGUCCGCCUGCCAAUGGGGACAAACAAAACCUUUUUGCAAUAGCAGUAACCGUAUCAAAACAAAACAUUUUAAAACUUUCAACAACGGAUCUCUUGGUUCUGGCAUCGAUGAAGAACGCAGCGAAAUGCGAUAAGUAGUGUGAAUUGCAGAAUUCAGUGAAUCAUCGAAUCUUUGAACGCACAUUGCGCCCUUUGGUAUUCCUUAGGGCAUGCCUGUUCGAGCGUCAUUUAACCCCUCAAGCAUUGCUUGGUGUUGGGCGUUUGUCCCGCCUCGGGCGUGGACUCGCCUUAAAAUCAUUGGCGGCCUGUGUAUUGGCUUCGAGCGCAGCACAAUCGCGUCUUCGACCCAGCACACUGGUGUCCAGUAAGCUAUCCACCCAAUUUUGACCUCGGAUCAGGUAGGGAUACCCGCUGAACCUAAGCAUAUCAAU